RNAcentral lists this ribosomal RNA (261 nucleotides) under uncultured bacterium. RNAcentral describes it as "partial 16S ribosomal RNA". It matches the Rfam family "Bacterial small subunit ribosomal RNA", at positions 333 to 586 of the family's 1533-position model. The record is from RNAcentral.
UUUGGCCUACGGGAGGCAGCAGUGGGGAAUAUUGCACAAUGGGCGCAAGCCUGAUGCAGCCAUGCCGCGUGUAUGAAGAAGGCCUUCGGGUUGUAAAGUACUUUCAGCGGGGAGGAAGGGAGUAAAGUUAAUACCUUUGCUCAUUGACGUUACCCGCAGAAGAAGCACCGGCUAACUCCGUGCCAGCAGCCGCGGUAAUACGGAGGGUGCAAGCGUUAAUCGGAAUUGCGGGGCGUGAAGCGCACGCAGUCGGUUUGUUAA